UCCUGAUUCCAGCAUUCACGAGUCAGGGGAAGGUCCCUGCUAAGGACAGACCUCAGGAGGGCAGUUGGUCCAGGACACACACCUGCUUUCCUCCUGUUUGCUGAUCCUGCCCUGGGUGGAAAAGGAGGGAGCUACUCUCAGGCUGCGUGUAAGUGGUGGGGGUGGGAGUGUGGAGGAGCUCACCCAUCCCAUAAUUCCUCCUGUCCCACGUCUCCUGCGGGCUCUGACCAGGUCCUGUUUUUGUUCUAUCCCAGCCAGUGACAGUGCCCAGGGCUCUGAUGUGUCUCUCACGGCUUGAAAAGUUGUAAGGGAUGUGAUCAGACUACACCCAGAGCAGACUGCACAGUUCUGACCCCAAGUCUAGAGGACAGUUAGACAAGGAACUUCCGUGUGUACAGGGAUCACCCGGAUGUGGUGCUGAGAUCCAGGAAGUCUGGAAUCGAGCUACGGAUUCUGUAUUUAUGACAAGGCUGGAGUUCGUGUUGCUGUUCUCCAGAUUAUACUUGCAGUAUCAAGAGCACCAGGAUCCCACAUGUCUGAGCAUCAGCCUCACCUCUAGGGCUUGUUAUAUAAACGAUUCCUUGGUCGUGUGCAUAAUACUCUGAGACAGGGGUUCUGGGGAGUGGCCUGAGUAUUUUCUAAGCCCCCGCCAGCAAUCAUGUUGCUCAGCCAGAUUGGGAACCACUGAGAUCAGAGAGUGCCCAGGGUGGGUGGGUGGAGUGGGUUUUCAAACCUGUUGAAAGAGGAUUUUUCUCACAGUAAGAAAAGGGAGGAUGUGUAUCAUCAGUUAUGAGAUGUGACAUUCGCUGUUGUUCUCUCUACCAUGGGGUAGAGGCCAGGUAGAGAAUUCAGGAUGUGGCUCUCGCACAAGGAACACCUCUGAAUGCCGCUCUCUGACACCCGCCCACAGACUCAUUUCCCACUCACUUCUUGGAGCAAACUAUGGAAAACAAAUUUCUGUAAGGUACACAUAAAGUCGUAUAUCUGGUAUUGGGGGCUAGUUUUAUUGUGGGGAAGGCCACAGAAGCAGGCUGGAGCCUACACAUCCAGGAACAGAAUCUACAGCCCACCCUGGAUCAGGUCCCUCCUAGGAACAACUGCCCCUGUUGCUGAGCACAGACGCCACUGCUCACACCUCUGACACCCUGGUGCUGGACACUGGACCCCAAGGCCAGGAGAGACGUCACUGCUGCACCUGGAAAUUGGACAUCACGACUGCCACUCAGUUUACUAAAAUGUUUUCUGCACAGUCCCAGCCUCUCUGUCACCUCAUUCUGGCUCAGAGGCUGGCAGUGAUAUAGGAGUUAAGAAGAAAUUAUUUAGACAGAUAGUGAGGGUACGGAAGGCUUUUAAUGAAAAGCAGGCUCCAAAUUAUUUUCUUUUCUAACAAGGUGCAGCCUGUAAUAUCAAGCUUCAGACAUAGACAAGUAAGCUAGAAGCUUGCACGGGUGAAUGCCGGCAACUGUGCCAAUAGGAAUAGGACACCUGGGACUGGGCAUGAUCACAAUGGCGACUCCAUCUUCCCUUCUCUUUGCCAGGCUCCUUCCGUAGAGUAAGGAGCAGAGAACAUGGCGCCGGCCAAGUGGCAAGCCCAUUUGCAUAUAGGAUUAAGGUGGGGUGAACAGCCUUCCACUUGCACUAUGUAAAUAUCACACCUGGUCCAAUCAACCUGUGGGCCCUACAUAAAUCAGACACCAUCUCCUCAAGCCUGCCUGUAAAAUCCGGUGCACUCCCAUUCCAGGCCAGAAUUCCCUUUUGGGUUCCCCUCUCUCUCACAAGAAGAGAGCUAUUCCCCUUUGUCUUUCUUUUGCCUAUUAAAUGCUUUGCUCCUAAACUCACUCCUCGUGUGUCAGUGUCCUUAAUCUUCUUGGUGUGAGAUGACACACCCUUAGUAU
Piliocolobus tephrosceles (Ugandan red Colobus) is the source of this 1895-nucleotide long non-coding RNA. RefSeq lists it as uncharacterized. The record is from RefSeq and is a predicted model, not a curated record. The transcript is spliced from 3 exons. Lineage: Eukaryota; Metazoa; Chordata; Mammalia; Primates; Cercopithecidae.